RNAcentral lists this transfer RNA (68 nucleotides) under Salmo salar (Atlantic salmon). It matches the Rfam family "tRNA". From Rfam's summary of the family: Transfer RNA (tRNA) molecules are approximately 80 nucleotides in length. The record is from Rfam by way of RNAcentral. Lineage: Eukaryota; Metazoa; Chordata; Actinopteri; Salmoniformes; Salmonidae.
GGCCGGUUAGCUCAGUUAGCGUGGUGCUAAUAACGCCAAGGUCCUGGGUUCGAUCCCCAUACUGGCCA